This 57-nucleotide transfer RNA is filed under the name Schistocephalus solidus. The record is from Rfam by way of RNAcentral. Lineage: Eukaryota; Metazoa; Platyhelminthes; Cestoda; Diphyllobothriidea; Diphyllobothriidae.
GAGCCCGUGGCUCAGUGGUUAGAGCGUUGGACUUCCGAUCAACGGUUCACGGGCUCG